RNAcentral lists this ribosomal RNA (196 nucleotides) under uncultured bacterium. Its description in RNAcentral is "partial 16S ribosomal RNA". It matches the Rfam family "Bacterial small subunit ribosomal RNA", at positions 334 to 526 of the family's 1533-position model. The record is from RNAcentral.
GAUUCCUACGGGAGGCAGCAGUGAGGAAUAUUGGACAAUGGUCGAGAGACUGAUCCAGCCAUGCCGCGUGCAGGAAGACGGCCCUAUGGGUUGUAAACUGCUUUUGUACGGGAAGAAUAAUGCCCACGUGUGGGCAGAUGACGGUACCGUACGAAUAAGCAUCGGCUAACUCCGUGCCAGCAGCCGCGGUAAUAAU